Oreochromis aureus is the source of this 113-nucleotide small nuclear RNA. Its record names the gene U5. It matches the Rfam family "U5 spliceosomal RNA". From Rfam's summary of the family: U5 RNA is a component of both types of known spliceosome. The precise function of this molecule is unknown, though it is known that the 5' loop is required for splice site selection and p220 binding, and that both the 3' stem-loop and the Sm site are important for Sm protein binding and cap methylation. The record is from Ensembl. Lineage: Eukaryota; Metazoa; Chordata; Actinopteri; Cichliformes; Cichlidae.
ACACUCUGGCUUCUCUUCAUAACGCACAAGUCUUUCGCCUUUUACUAAAGACUUCCGUGGAGAGCAGCGUUAAAGAGUUGCACCUAUUUUUGGCAGGGUCUGCCGUCUGGCUG